AGACCAUUUCCUACAACUAUGGCUUGUCUGAGUCCUGAGCCAGCAGAGCUCAGGCCACAGCACCUGCACCCGUUUUCUGCUGCUGCACACAAGGGCUCUGUGCAUUCCGCAUCCAGUUAGGAGAUUGCUCCUGCGCUGGGGAGUUGGUGUUAGGACAGAAGAUCCAAGACGCGUUUCAGAGAGCCCCUCUUCUUGGGCCUGCGAUUCCUCACCUGGAAGGGAGAAGAGUGGACUUCCUGCCUAGAGAACACCUUGGUAAACUCUUUGUGGUUCCUGUCAUGAGAAGGUGUGCAGCUUAGGGAAAAAGCCUGUGAGCUCUGGAAUCAGAUGGAACUGGAUAUGAAUUUCCAUUUAGUGCUUGUUGGAUUAAAUGUGAUGCUAGUAAGUACACUUGCCUAGUUGCUGCUCAAGAAAUGGAGCUAUUAUUAUUUACAUCAUAAUUUGAACUUCAUUCAUUCAACCCAUACCGAUGAGCAGCCACAGGCCCUCCUUCCACAGGGCUUACCUUCAGAAAGUUCCACGUGUCCCUUACUUUCUGGUAGGCACAUUCAUGGGCACGUACCAUGCUAAGGACCAGGGACCUGGAGAUGAAGACAGUCCUGUCCACUGAGGGGUUCACAUCUUUCCAUAAAACGUUCUGACCCCCCUGUUUCUUUCUUCU
RNAcentral lists this long non-coding RNA (661 nucleotides) under Homo sapiens (human). Its description in RNAcentral is "Ewing sarcoma associated transcript 1". Lineage: Eukaryota; Metazoa; Chordata; Mammalia; Primates; Hominidae. The record is from RNAcentral.